UGUUCAGCCUGGGCACCAUGGGUUGCGCCACGGCACUGUCGAUGCCGUGGAUGCUGGCGGCCCGUGCGGUCCAGGGGUUGGGCGG
This 85-nucleotide transfer RNA is filed under the name Metapseudomonas otitidis. Its description in RNAcentral is "Pseudomonas otitidis tRNA-Asp". The record is from RNAcentral. Lineage: Bacteria; Pseudomonadati; Pseudomonadota; Gammaproteobacteria; Pseudomonadales; Pseudomonadaceae.